AUGCCGCGGUGAAUCCGUUCCCGGGCCUUGUACACACCGCCCGUCACACCACGAGAGUCGGCAACACCCGAAGUCGGUGAGGUAACCGUUAUGGAGCCAGCCGCCGAAGGUGGGGUUGAUGAUUGGGGUGAAGUCGUAACAAGGUAGCCGUAUCGGAAGGUGCGGCUGGAUCACCUCCUUUCU
This 183-nucleotide ribosomal RNA is filed under the name Alicyclobacillus acidoterrestris. RNAcentral's name for it is "partial 16S ribosomal RNA". It matches the Rfam family "Bacterial small subunit ribosomal RNA", at positions 1354 to 1533 of the family's 1533-position model. Lineage: Bacteria; Bacillati; Bacillota; Bacilli; Caryophanales; Alicyclobacillaceae. The record is from RNAcentral. RNAcentral also lists the same sequence under 1 other name.